UACGAAGGGGGCUAGCGUUGUUCGGAAUUACUGGGCGUAAAGCGCACGUAGGCGGAUAUUUAAGUCAGGGGUGAAAUCCCAGAGCUCAACUCUGGAACUGCCUUUGAUACUGGGUAUCUCGAGUAUGGAAGAGGUGAGUGGAAUUCCGAGUGUAGAGGUGAAAUUCGUAGAUAUCGGGAGGAACACCGGUGGCGAAGGCGGCGACCUGGGUUGACAUUGACGCUGAGGCGCGAAAGCGUGGGGAGCAAACAGG
Molecule: ribosomal RNA, 253 nt
Filed under: uncultured bacterium
Lineage: Bacteria
Description: partial 16S ribosomal RNA
Rfam family: Bacterial small subunit ribosomal RNA
Source: RNAcentral